UGGGGAAUAUUGCACAAUGGGGGAAACCCUGAUGCAGCAACGCCGCGUGAGUGAUGAAGGCCUUCGGGUUGUAAAGCUCUGUCUUUGGGGACGAUAAUGACGGUACCCAAGGAGGAAGCCACGGCUAACUACGU
Molecule: ribosomal RNA, 134 nt
Filed under: uncultured bacterium
Lineage: Bacteria
Description: partial 16S rRNA
Rfam family: Bacterial small subunit ribosomal RNA
Source: RNAcentral